ACAGCAGCAGCCGCGGUAAUACAGAGGGUGCGAGCGUUAAUCGGAUUUACUUGGCGUAAAGCGUGCGUAGGCGGCUUCUUAAGUCGGAUGUGAAAUCCCUGAGCUUAACUUAGGAAUUGCAUUCGAUACUGGGAAGCUAGAGUAUGGGAGAGGAUGGUAGAAUUCCAGGUGUAGCGGUGAAAUGCGUAGAGAUCUGGAGGAAUACCGAUGGCGAAGGCAGCCAUCUGGCCUAAUACUGACGCUGAGGUACGAAAGCAUGGGGAGCAAACAGGAUUAGAUACCCCCGUAGUCCCUGUCUCUUAUAC
This 305-nucleotide ribosomal RNA is filed under the name uncultured bacterium. Its description in RNAcentral is "partial 16S ribosomal RNA". It matches the Rfam family "Bacterial small subunit ribosomal RNA", at positions 505 to 807 of the family's 1533-position model. The record is from RNAcentral.